AGUGAACGCUGGCGGUAGGCCUAACACAUGCAAGUCGAACGGCAGCACAGUAAGAGCUUGCUCUUACGGGUGGCGAGUGGCGGACGGGUGAGGAAUACAUCGGAAUCUACUUUUUCGUGGGGGAUAACGUAGGGAAACUUACGCUAAUACCGCAUACGACCUACGGGUGAAAGCAGGGGAUCUUCGGACCUUGCGCGAUUGAAUGAGCCGAUGUCGAAUUAGCUAGUUGGCGGGGUAAAGGCCCACCAAGGCGACGAUCCGUAGCUGGUCUGAGAGGAUGAUCAGCCACACUGGAACUGAGGCACGGUCCAGACUCCUACGGGAGGCAGCAGUGGGGAAUAUUGGACAAUGGGCGCAAGCCUGAUCCAGCCAUACCGCGUGGGUGAAGAAGGCCUUCGGGUUGUAAAGCCCUUUUGUUGGGAAAGAAAAGCAGCAGGUUAAUACCCCGCUGUUCUGACGGUACCCAAAGAAUAAGCACCGGCUAACUUCGUG
RNAcentral lists this ribosomal RNA (492 nucleotides) under uncultured bacterium. RNAcentral describes it as "partial 16S ribosomal RNA". It matches the Rfam family "Bacterial small subunit ribosomal RNA", at positions 29 to 507 of the family's 1533-position model. The record is from RNAcentral.